AGCGAACGCUGGCGGCAGGCCUAACACAUGCAAGUCGAACGAACUCUUCGGAGUUAGUGGCGGACGGGUGAGUAACACGUGGGAACGUGCCUUUUGGUUCGGAAUAACUCAGGGAAACUUGUGCUAAUACCGAAUGUGCCCUUCGGGGGAAAGAUUUAUCGCCAUUAGAGCGGCCCGCGUCUGAUUAGCUAGUUGGUGAGGUAACGGCUCACCAAGGCGACGAUCAGUAGCUGGUCUGAGAGGAUGACCAGCCACACUGGGACUGAGACACGGCCCAGACUCCUAAGGGAGGCAGCAGUAGGGAAUCUUGCGCAAUGAGAGAAAGCCUGACGCAGCCAUGCCGCGUGAAUGAUGAAGGUCUUAGGAUUGUAAAAUUCUUUCACCGGGGACGAUAAUGACGGUACCCGGAGAAGAAGCCCCGGAUAACUUAGUG
RNAcentral lists this ribosomal RNA (433 nucleotides) under uncultured bacterium. Its description in RNAcentral is "partial 16S ribosomal RNA". It matches the Rfam family "Bacterial small subunit ribosomal RNA", at positions 29 to 507 of the family's 1533-position model. The record is from RNAcentral.